This 253-nucleotide ribosomal RNA is filed under the name uncultured bacterium. Its description in RNAcentral is "partial 16S ribosomal RNA". It matches the Rfam family "Bacterial small subunit ribosomal RNA", at positions 524 to 776 of the family's 1533-position model. The record is from RNAcentral.
UACAGAGGUGGCAAGCGUUGUUCGGAAUUACUGGGCGUAAAGGGCGAGUAGGCGGCCUUCUAAGUCAGACGUGAAAUCCCCCGGCUUAACCUGGGAACUGCGUCUGAUACUGGGAGGCUUGAGUAUGGGAGAGGGAUGUAGAAUUCCAGGUGUAGCGGUGAAAUGCGCAGAUAUCAGGAGGAACACCGAUGGCGAAGGCAGGUCUCUGGGCAUUAACUGACGCUGAGGAGCGAAAGCAUGGGGAGCGAACAGG